GUGCUCACUUUGGCAGCACAUGCACUAAAAUUAGAAAGAUACAGAGAAGAUUAGCAUGGCCCCCUGCACAAGGAUGACAUAUAAAUUCAUGAAAUGUUCCAUAUUUUU
Molecule: small nuclear RNA, 108 nt
Organism: Cebus imitator (Panamanian white-faced capuchin)
Lineage: Eukaryota; Metazoa; Chordata; Mammalia; Primates; Cebidae
Source: Ensembl